AUCUUCAGGAAUUUUACCUGGGUAACUCCUCAAAUGAAAUUCCAAACAUCUGUCCAAAUGGUUGUUGAUCAUUAAAAUUGCACUUCAAGGAGACAGACCUAAAUGAACACAUAGUGAGAAAGGAAAAUGAGCAUGACACAUGGAAAGAAAUGGCUCCCCUCCUUCGCCAUGGCUUUCCCUUCAAGCCCUGCUGGAACAAAUAAAAGCAUUGGACUGGACUAUAAAUUUCAGAGCUGUCUCUGAGAUGAUAAAUGUCUGAAGAUCAAGAUCUGAGCAAAGAAAAUGAAGGACAUGCUAUGCAGACCAGAAUAGAACUGGACGUCUCAGUGAAAAGUUACACAGUGCGGAAAGGUUUUUCAGAAACUCUUCAGAACAAACAGCAGAUGAAUUCUUAACUCUGUUGAUCACUGACAUCGCUAGAGACUAAUCAGAGAAUUUUUACUCAGCUAAACAGGCAUUUGAACUGGGCAAACAGGACGACAGCAGCAGUGAGCUGAUCAUUGCAAGCAUUGUAGCAAACUGGCACUUUGCCUUUUCACCCCUUUGGUUCAGGAGACCAACGUGUGCAAUCCUCAUUUCUAAAGUGAGCACAGCCUGGAAGGAUUCCUGGUAUCUCCCACCUUCUAGCCUUCUGCUGCCAGUGACGGCAAGGAUUGGUGCAGCUUCUGCGCAGUGCUUUGUGCCUGGAAUACCGAGAAGGAAGAAAAAGAAGACAAGCACCCUGAUACUUCUUUGCUAAGAAAUAACAGGAGCCCUGAAGGAAAAAAAAAAGUCUGAGUUUGUCCUACUGCAUCUAAGAGUGAUGAAAAAACAAACAAAAAAUGAGAUGAGAUGCUCCUGCUCAAAACAAAAACAAAACAAAACAAAAAAAGCCAAAAUCCAAAACAAAACAAACUUUAAAGAGGCAAACAUUGGCUUGUGUAACUUCAGAGACCUCGGGCUUUGUAAAGCAGCUUUUUAAGGCAACAUAACCAAACGAACCUUCUUUACUUUCAUUAUUUCAAAACUAUGGCUUAAUUAGCAAGGUAUUUUGCACUUGGUGAAAUCGCACCUUCCAUAUCAGGCAGAAACUUAAAGUGAAUAUGAGACGUGAAGAAAUUGAUCAUAGGAGAAAAUCAUCUCAGGUAAAGAUAUACAAAAAAGAACAAUUCAAAUUUAAUAUUUUUAAGUAGAAAAUUCUUUUGAAAGUGCUUGAUUGAAAGAAUUCAUUUUGUGUUCUUUAUGCAUCUAACUGUUAGAAUUUUCAUUGAUGGUGUUCAUGUGAGAAUUCACGUAUGACCAAAUUU
Molecule: long non-coding RNA, 1286 nt
Organism: Ochotona curzoniae (black-lipped pika)
Lineage: Eukaryota; Metazoa; Chordata; Mammalia; Lagomorpha; Ochotonidae
Exons: 8
Source: RefSeq, a predicted model, not a curated record